UGAGAUGGUUGACCAGAGAGCACACGCUUUAUUUGUGUCGUUUGUGACCUGGUCCACUAACCCU
This is a non-coding RNA of Myotis davidii, 64 nucleotides long. Lineage: Eukaryota; Metazoa; Chordata; Mammalia; Chiroptera; Vespertilionidae. The record is from Rfam.